RNA transcript from Acanthaster planci (crown-of-thorns starfish), 457 nucleotides. RefSeq lists it as uncharacterized. The record is from RefSeq and is a predicted model, not a curated record. Lineage: Eukaryota; Metazoa; Echinodermata; Asteroidea; Valvatida; Acanthasteridae.
AUCCAGUCUACUGAAAACACAGUUUCAAAAUACAGGUGGCCAAGAGAACGCGGCAAAAUUGUCGACUGGUGUCGAGGCAAUGUGCAUUCAGAAAUUGCCUUCACUACAGGAAGCAAGCAGUGAGGUUUCACAACGUACUCUCCGAACAAGAACCAAAAGACUGAGACAGCACUUAGACAAUGUUACAGGAGGCCAACCUGCCAUACAACUGAAGCAUGUUCUAAAUAGCACCACAACUAGAUGCGAAUUGAAAGACCUCCAUGAAAAAAUGGAAAUGAAAGUUUGCAUCCCCCCCACUUCAGGAGUUGGCACUCAAGUCCGAUUUAAGGUUGUCAUGGUCUGCUCUCUAGAGCUCAAGCUGUGGCUAAGGCAGUAUAACGUCAUAAUGGCCCGUGAGAAGAACAGUAGGAGCAUUGGUCAGUUGUCCGUUGGUCAAGAGUUACUUUAGGGAGAAACU